RNAcentral lists this ribosomal RNA (491 nucleotides) under uncultured bacterium. RNAcentral's name for it is "partial 16S ribosomal RNA". It matches the Rfam family "Bacterial small subunit ribosomal RNA", at positions 29 to 506 of the family's 1533-position model. The record is from RNAcentral.
AGUGAACGCUGGCGGUAGGCCUAACACAUGCAAGUCGAACGGCAGCACAGUAAGAGCUUGCUCUUACGGGUGGCGAGUGGCGGACGGGUGAGGAAUACAUCGGAAUCUACUUUUUCGUGGGGGAUAACGUAGGGAAACUUACGCUAAUACCGCAUACGACCUACGGGUGAAAGCAGGGGAUCUUCGGACCUUGCGCGAUUGAAUGAGCCGAUGUCGGAUUAGCUAGUUGGCGGGGUAAAGGCCCACCAAGGCGACGAUCCGUAGCUGGUCUGAGAGGAUGAUCAGCCACACUGGACCUGAGACACGCUCCAGACUCCUACGGGAGGCAGCAGUGGGGAAUAUUGGACAAUGGGCGCAAGCCUGAUCCAGCCAUACCGCGUGGGUGAAGAAGGCCUGCGGGUGGUAAAGCCCUUUUGUUGGGAAAGAAAAGCAGCAGGUUAAGACCCCGCUGUUCUGACGGUACCCAAAGAAUAAGCACCGGCUAACUUCGU